UCGGCUUAGAGUUUGAUCAUGGCUCAGAUUGAACGCUGGCGGCAGGCUUAACACAUGCAAGUCGAACGGUAAAGUAGCUUGCUACUUACGGGUGGCGGACGGGUGAGUAACGUAUGGGAAUUUACCGAAUGGAGGGGGACAACAGUUGGAAACGGCUGCUAAUACCGCAUAACGUCGAGAGACCAAAGGGUUUCGACUUGCCAUUUGAUGAGCCCAUAUGAGAUUAGCUAGUUGGUGUGGUAAUGGCCCACCAAGGCGACGAUCUCUAGCUGGUUUGAGAGGAUGACCAGCCACACUGGGACUGAGACACGGCCCAGACUCCUACGGGAGGCAGCAGUGGGGAAUAUUGCACAAUGGGGGGAACCCUGAUGCAGCCAUGCCGCGUGUAUGAAGAAGGCCUUAGGGUUGUAAAGUACUUUCGUGGAGGAGGAAGGGUUUACGUAAUCGUGGACAUUGACGUUACUCCAAGAAGAAGCACCGGCUAACUCCGUGCCAGCAGCCGCGGUAAUACGGAGGGUGCGAGCGUUAAUCGGAAUGACUGGGCGUAAAGGGCAUGUAGGCGGAUGAUUAAGUUAGAUGUGAAAUCCCUGGGCUUAACCUAGGAAUGCAUUUAAAACUGGUU
Molecule: ribosomal RNA, 622 nt
Filed under: uncultured Enterobacteriaceae bacterium
Lineage: Bacteria; Pseudomonadati; Pseudomonadota; Gammaproteobacteria; Enterobacterales; Enterobacteriaceae
Description: bacterial SSU rRNA
Rfam family: Bacterial small subunit ribosomal RNA
Source: RNAcentral